CGGGAUGUAGCCCAGUGGCUAGGGCGCCAGCUUUGGGAGCUGGAUAUCGUGGGUUCGAGUCCCACCAUCCCGACUA
This 76-nucleotide transfer RNA is filed under the name Spirochaetaceae bacterium. Its description in RNAcentral is "tRNA-Pro". It matches the Rfam family "tRNA". Rfam says of the family: Transfer RNA (tRNA) molecules are approximately 80 nucleotides in length. The record is from RNAcentral. Lineage: Bacteria; Pseudomonadati; Spirochaetota; Spirochaetia; Spirochaetales; Spirochaetaceae.